UCUUUCAACGAAGCUCUUCAAUGGCGGCCAUAUUGUGAAGAAUUUCUUGAGUGACCGGCAUGAUGUGAGCAGGCUCUGGUUUGGCAGACCGGAAGAGAGUCGUG
This is a long non-coding RNA of Sinocyclocheilus grahami, 104 nucleotides long. RefSeq lists it as uncharacterized. The record is from RefSeq and is a predicted model, not a curated record. NCBI's taxonomy places the organism in Eukaryota, Metazoa, Chordata, Actinopteri, Cypriniformes, Cyprinidae. The transcript is spliced from 3 exons.